Molecule: long non-coding RNA, 2120 nt
Organism: Dromaius novaehollandiae (emu)
Lineage: Eukaryota; Metazoa; Chordata; Aves; Casuariiformes; Dromaiidae
Source: Ensembl
AAGGCAUCGUGUGUUUUCGGGGCUGUAGGACCCCCCCGCCGGGCACCGUGUAUUUCCUGGGGCACCGGGCAUCUUUCCGGGCACCGGAUAUUUUCCAAGGCAUCGGGUGUUUUCGGGGCUGAAGGACCCCCCCUCGGGUAUUUUCCAAGGCAUUGGGUGUUUUUGGGGCUGAAGGACUCCCCCCUCGGGUAUUUUCCAAGGCAUUGGGUGUUUUCGGGGCUGUAGGACCCCCCUCCAGGUAUUUUCCAGGGCAUCAGGUAUUUUGGGGGCUGCAGGACCCCCCUCGGGUAUUUUCCAGGGCAUCGGGUGUUUUCUGGGCUGUAGGAUCACCCCUCGGGUAUUUUCCAAGGAACCGGGUAUUUUCGAGGCUGUAGGACCCCCCCCACACACACACACCGGGCACCGCAUAUUUCCCGGGUAUCCGGUAUUUUCCAGGGCGCUGGGUGUUUUCAGGGCUCUAGGACCCCCCUCCGAGUAUUUUCCAGGGCAUCGGGUGUUUUCCGGGCUGUAGGAUCACCCCUCGGGUAUUUUCCAAGGAACUGGGUAUUUUCCGGGGUGUAGGACCCCCCCRCCGGGCACCGCAUAUUUCCCAGGGCACCGGGCAUCUUUCUGGGCAUCCGAUAUUUUCCAGGACUYGGGGCAUUUUUGGGGCUGUAGGACCCCCCACCUCGGGUAUUUUCCAAGGCAUCGGGUGUUUUCCGGGCUGUAGGGCCCCCCUCGGGUGUUUUCCAAGGCAUUGGGUGUUUUACGGGGUGUAGGAACCCCCUCCGGGUAUUUUCCAGGGCAUCGGGUAUUUUCGGGGCUGUAGGACCCCCCCCCCGGGUAUUUUCCUGGGCAUUGGGUAUUUUCAGGGCUGUAGGAUCCCCCCCGCUGGGUAUUUUCCAGGGCAUCGGGCAUUUCCGGGGUGUAGGAGCCCCCCCGAGCACCGGGUAUUUUCCAAGGCAUCGGGCAUUUUCCAGGGUGUAGGAGCUCCCUCGGGCACCGGGUAUUUUCCAGGGCACCGGGUAUUUUCAGGGCUGUAGGGGCCCCCCCUCGGGUAUUUUCCAAGGCACCGGGCAUUUUCGGGGCUGUAGGACCCCCCUCGGGUAUUUGCCAGGGUACUGGAUAUUUUCGGGGCUGUAGGACGCCCCUCCGGGUAUUUUCCAAGGAACCGGGUAUUUUUGGGGAUGUAGGACCCCCCCCCCGGGUAUUUUCCAAGGCACUGGGCAUUUUCGGGGCUGUAGGACCCCCCUCGGAUAUUUUCCAAGGCACCGGGUAUUUUCCAGGGUGUAGGAGCUCCCUCGGGCACCGGGUAUUUUCCAAGGCCCCGGGUAUUUUCGGGGCUGCAGAACCCCCCYGGACCCGGGUAUUUUCCAGGCUGGGGGGCAUUUCCCGGGCCGUUCCGGGGCACCCUUGUCCGGGGGGGGGGGGUGACGGAGUCUCCGCCGCCCCCGUGAAUUCACCGCCGCGUUUCUCCGCUUUUCCAGUGGUCAUCGAAGACGACAGGAUCGACGACGUGCUGAAAAACCUGGCGGAAACGGGGGGGGCGGGGGGGGCGCUCGGCUUUUUUCUAACCGUGCAGUCCGUAGUGUGGGCAAUUUGGGUUUUUUUUUCUGUAUAUCGUGGCGGUUUAUUCUCUUUAAUAGACUGUAUUAAAAAGGGAAAAAAUAGAGUAACGGCAAGAAAAAAAAUCUAAUGUAAUCACAGAGUGCCAAAUCCCUCGCGAUGCCAAGCGGCAGCCUCUUUCCUCCCUCCUUUCCGUGCUUUUGGAGGCCACGUAAAGUGGCGUUUUGGGCUUUCUGGUUAUUUCUGGGGGUCUCCCGGUAUCUCGGCGUCUCCAUCGAGCUCGCCGGGGGAUUUUUUUUUUUUGCUUUGACUUCUCUUUUCUAUAUAUCUAUUUUUUAAUAUUUUUGCAUGAUGUGCGAGGGAAAAGGGAACCCCCCCCCCCCCCAAACGCAGCCGCUCCGCGCGAGGGCAUCGCCGGCCGUUUCCGACGCCGAGCCGGACCUCGAGGCUGGGUUUUCCCUUUUUCCCUGUCUCCUAUUCUGAAAUAUUGUCUCUGUUGCACUUGGAUCCACUACACAGGGCUAUUUCUGCAAUGUUCGAAUAAAAACAAAGGAAAAAAAAGAAGGAAAAUGAAG